AUCCGAUGCUUUAGCCGAGCCUUCGAGCCAUUAAAAAAGCCGCGCAGGAUGCGCGGCUUUUUUGUUGUCGAAGA
This 74-nucleotide small RNA is filed under the name Microvirga lotononidis. Its description in RNAcentral is "suhB". The record is from RNAcentral. Lineage: Bacteria; Pseudomonadati; Pseudomonadota; Alphaproteobacteria; Hyphomicrobiales; Methylobacteriaceae.